Molecule: unclassified non-coding RNA, 240 nt
Filed under: soil metagenome
Description: partial contains 5.8S ribosomal RNA, internal transcribed spacer 2, and large subunit ribosomal RNA
Source: RNAcentral
AACGCACGAGACCUGCGGACCUGCGGAGGGAUCAUUACCGAGUGCGGGCCCUCUGGGUCCAACCUCCCACCCGUGUUUAUCGUACCUUGUUGCUUCGGCGGGCCCGCCUCUCCUGGCCGCCCGGGGGCCUCUAGCCCCCGGGUCCGAGCCCGCCGAAGACACCCGCGAACGCUGUCUGAAGAGUGCAGUCUGAGCUUCUGAGUUAAAUCGGUUAAAACUUUCAACAACGGAUCUCUAGAU